GGUGCUGUGUCUUAGUUGGUUAAAGCGCCUGUCUAGUAAACAGGAGAUCCUGCACCA
RNAcentral lists this transfer RNA (57 nucleotides) under Xenopus laevis (African clawed frog). Lineage: Eukaryota; Metazoa; Chordata; Amphibia; Anura; Pipidae. The record is from Rfam by way of RNAcentral.